GCUGGGCAUGGUGGUGCGUGCCUGUAAUCCCAGCUACUCGGGAGGCUGAGGCAGGAGAAUAGCUUGAACCUGGGAAGUGGAGGCUGCAGUGAGCCAAGAUCACACCACUGCACUCCAGCCUGGGCGACAAAGUUAGAUCCUGUCUCAA
Molecule: non-coding RNA, 148 nt
Filed under: Nomascus leucogenys (northern white-cheeked gibbon)
Lineage: Eukaryota; Metazoa; Chordata; Mammalia; Primates; Hylobatidae
Source: Rfam by way of RNAcentral